GCAAACUUGGUCAUUUAGAGGAAGUAAAAGUCGUAACAAGGUUUCCGUAGGUGAACCUGCGGAAGGAUCAUUACCGAGUGCGGGCCCUCUGGGUCCAACCUCCCACCCGUGUUUAUUUACCUUGUUGCUUCGGCGGGCCCGCCAUUCUGGCCGCCGGGGGGCUUUGCCCCCGGGCCCGCGCCCGCCGAAGACACCCCUGAACUCUGUCUGAAGAUUGUAGUCUGAGUGGAAUGAUAAAUUAGUUAAAACUUUCAACAACGGAUCUCUUGGUUCCGGCAUCGAUGAAGAACGCAGC
This 295-nucleotide unclassified non-coding RNA is filed under the name uncultured fungus. Its description in RNAcentral is "partial contains small subunit ribosomal RNA, internal transcribed spacer 1, and 5.8S ribosomal RNA". The stretch from base 1 to 73 matches the Rfam family "Eukaryotic small subunit ribosomal RNA", at positions 1759 to 1831 of the family's 1831-position model. The record is from RNAcentral. Lineage: Eukaryota; Fungi.